AUUGAACGCUGGCGGAAUGCUUUACACAUGCAAGUCGAACGGCAGCACGGGGGCAACCCUGGUGGCGAGUGGCGAACGGGUGAGUAAUACAUCGGAACGUGCCCCGUCGUGGGGGAUAACGUAGCGAAAGUUACGCUAAUACCGCAUACGAUCUAUGGAUGAAAGCGGGGGACCGUAAGGCCUCGCGCGAUUGGAGCGGCCGAUGUCAGAUUAGGUAGUUGGUGGGGUAAAGGCCCCCCAAGCCGACGAUCUGUAGCUGGUUUGAGAGGACGACCAGCCCCCCUGGGACUGAGACACGGCCCAGACUCCUACGGGAGGCAGCAGUGGGGAAUUUUGGACAAUGGGCGCAAGCCUGAUCCAGCCCUUCCGCGUGCAGGACGAAGGCCUUCGGGUUGUAAACUGCUUUUGUACGGAACGAAAAGGUCCUGGUUAAUACCCGGGGCUCAUGACGGUACCGUAAGAAUAAGCACCGGCUAACUACGUG
Molecule: ribosomal RNA, 484 nt
Filed under: uncultured bacterium
Lineage: Bacteria
Description: bacterial SSU rRNA
Rfam family: Bacterial small subunit ribosomal RNA
Source: RNAcentral